This 23-nucleotide non-coding RNA is filed under the name Arabidopsis thaliana (thale cress). The record is from RNAcentral. Lineage: Eukaryota; Viridiplantae; Streptophyta; Magnoliopsida; Brassicales; Brassicaceae.
UCCCACCCAUUGGGGUUGCUCUA